GCCCUGGUAGCUCAGUUGGAUAGAGCAGCCGCCUUCUAAGCGGCCGGCCGCGAGUUCGAGUCUCGCCCGGGGCG
This 74-nucleotide transfer RNA is filed under the name Propionibacterium sp. Its description in RNAcentral is "tRNA-Arg". It matches the Rfam family "tRNA". From Rfam's summary of the family: Transfer RNA (tRNA) molecules are approximately 80 nucleotides in length. Their secondary structure includes four short double-helical elements and three loops (D, anti-codon, and T loops). Lineage: Bacteria; Bacillati; Actinomycetota; Actinomycetes; Propionibacteriales; Propionibacteriaceae. RNAcentral also lists the same sequence under 1 other name. The record is from RNAcentral.